CUUUUAUUCAGUUUAGCUGCAGAUAAAGCCUGGCACGUCUAUGAGAGUGAGAUCACUUCUCUUUCAGUGUGAAAUGAAAACUUCAUCUCAUUUUCACAAAAUAAAAUGCUAUAGUAGCUAUUUAACUUUUACUCUCCAUCAGCGAAUAAUGAUUCUGAAAAAAAAUGUGCCAGAUGUCUGUUUGCUGCAUAUAUUUUGAAAGCACUGAAUCGCUAAAAAAAAAAAAAAAAAAAAAUUGUGAUUCAUUCGAUUCUUAGCGUUCUAUAUUGAUUACUCCGAGAUCAGCGACUCGUUCACGAUUCUAAAAUCAUGUUUCAAGAUCGAUGCAUAUGCAUCGUCAAGGGUUAGUAAUCGAUGCAUUUAGAAAACGAGUGAAUCGUAACACCCGAACAUAGACAGUAAAAGAAACAAAUCGUAUCUUCUAUGCUCCACAGAAAGUAAAACAGGUUUGACACAACAUGCAAUUUGCAAGGUAUUUGCAGCAGCAUGAGUGAUACAUUAUAUAAAUAAAGAGAAGAGAAAAGAAACAAUGUUAAUUCUUCCUUCUGUCUGAUUCUGGGCUGUGCUUGAUGAGUCCAUGUGACAUGAGUGAAAGCAAGGCUCAUCAUGUGGAGAUCAGGGAUGUAGGUGGACAGAUGCUCCCGAAGCUGGUGGAUUAUAUUUACACCUCUGAGAUCGAAGUGUCUGAGGAUAAUGUUCAGGUGUUGCUCCCAGCUGCCGGUCUGCUGCAGCUGAUGGAUGUUCGACAGGUUUGCUGUGACCUCCUGCAGGCGCAGCUUCAUCCGUGUCCACUGAAGAGAAGGUGACACUACCAAGUCUUUUGAUCUAGUUGCAUCUUUUCGAUUACGCUUCUCGGUUUCUCAUCACAUCACAAGCCUGUUUUCAGCUCAGCUUUGCGGGGUUUGUAGACUGCAGACAGUUGAUGGUUGGUUUUUACAUGUAGCCAUCUGUCUGUCAAACUGCAUUAGCUGCUGUCUGCUUGCUGUCUCCAGUCUGCGCUCACACACACACUUGAUGGCAGAUGUCAUCCGUCAGAUGCUUCGGUGUCAUCUGAGAAGUGACACACAGACAGUAGAGGAUAGUUGCCUGGUCUGCUGUGGAUGUGAGCUGCAUUCAUGCAAUAUAUAUAUAAUAGACUUUGUGUUUGAAGCCUUGAUUAAGCACGAUAAAGAGGCACGUCUGGAGCACGUCUAAGCUCAUGCAACAUGUUCGACUGCCCCUGCUAUCCAGAGAUAAGCUGGUUCAGGUAUGAUGGCGCACAAUUUCAAAGAGAGUUCUCUCCAUGUAAUGAUGCAUCCCAAAAUAGAUACAAAUGUGAUGAUUCAAGUUGGUUGAGAUGUUAAACUAAUCGUGAUACGCUUGGGUUUAUAUGAAUGCAUCUCUGACUGUUUUCAGAAAAGUUUAGGCUUGGUCCACACUAAUAUAUUUUGGGAUGAAAACGCAUCUUUGUCUCUCCAUUUUAGCGUUUCGUCCGCACUGAGACUGAGCUUUUUAAAAAUGCUAAUGAUGGCGAAUAAAUUUGAAAACAUUGUAGUGUGGACUGUGAAAACCUUUAAAAAUGAUAACGCAUAUUUAGACAUGGGACACAUUGUACCAAUAGAGGUCUAUGUUUAUACACCCUAACGCUACAGAUGUGUUACUUUGUAAACUCUUCAUAUCACAGUCCUGCACAGAAAAUGUACUCACGAUUGCUGUGGACGAGGAUUCGAUUAGAACUACAAACGUGCAUAAAAAGUGUUGAAAACUACAAACAUGGCGGAUAUGCGAGACUGAUGGACAGGUAGAGAAAGGGGUUUGAGAGAUAAAUAGUCAGUAUCUAUCCUGUUGGAAAAGUAUUUAUUUAUUGUUAUCCAUGUCAUAAUUCAUCUGCAGCACCACUGUGAACUUUAAUAAUGAUACGUUUGGUAUUUAACUCUUAAAUGCAUUAAACAAACAUAAAAAGAGAGUUCUCUGCAUGAUUGAGCCGAGACUGGCAACGUGUCUCUUCAUUUCCUUCAAAUACGGUAGGAAGUUAAAUGAAAUCGUUUUUGAAAAGACGAUUGAUGAUAUCGCAGUUUAAAUGGUGACAGGAUACACAUAACUAAGCAACAGAGCAUCCAUUAAAGACGCAGUUAUGUCCACAAGAUUGCCUACUCUUCUGCUACAGACUCAAAAGUUUGUUAAGGGCAUUGGGAUGCAGCAUUAGAUGCCAUUUUCAUUUCAUAAGUGCAGCACUGCUUUGUGGUAACCAUGUCAGGUUUGGAACGAGUAAUUAACAACAGGAUUUUUAUUUUUGGGUGAACUAUCUCUUUAAAGUGCAGAGGUUGCCUCUAGUUUUAAAUGGAAGGAGCACAGACAAAGUCUUAGUUUGUUUAUAUGAAGAGAUUCGUUUUUUUUUUGUAUUAUUGAUUGUGAAAUCAGUAUCACGUCGAGCUGAGGGAAUCGUUACAUCACUAGCAAUCUCUCUGUAUAUGUGUUUUUGUACAGAUUGUAGAGGAGCCCUUAAUAAAAACAACACUUGUAAGGACUUCUUCAUCGAGGCAAUGAAGCACCAGCUUCUAUCCACAGACUAGAGAUUCAGGAUCUGGUUUUAGUGCUAAACGCAAAGGUUAUGACUGACACAAGAGAGAUUUACUGCUGAAUGACAAAUCGCAGACUGAAUUUUGAUUCAUCGUGCAGCCCUAGUCUUACCCGCUUUCCGUUGGGG
Carassius auratus (goldfish) is the source of this 2686-nucleotide RNA transcript. It is a transcript of the gene named kelch-like protein 3, with no coding region annotated. NCBI's taxonomy places the organism in Eukaryota, Metazoa, Chordata, Actinopteri, Cypriniformes, Cyprinidae. The transcript has 3 exons. The record is from RefSeq and is a predicted model, not a curated record.